AGUGGGGAAUAUUGGACAAUGGGCGAAAGCCUGAUCCAGCCAUGCCGCGUGUGUGAAGAAGGCCUUCGGGUUGUAAAGCACUUUCAGUGGGGAAGAAAGCCUUGGGGCUAAUACCCUCGAGGAAGGACAUCACCCACAGAAGAAGCACCGGCUAACUCCGUGCCAGCAGCCGCGGUAAUACGGAGGGUGCGAGCGUUAAUCGGAAUUACUGGGCGUAAAGCGCGCGUAGGCGGUCUGAUAAGCCGGUUGUGAAAGCCCCGGGCUCAACCUGGGAACGGCAUCCGGAACUGUCAGGCUAGAGUGCAGGAGAGGAAGGUAGAAUUCCCGGUGUAGCGGUGAAAUGCGUAGAGAUCGGGAGGAAUACCAGUGGCGAAGGCGGCCUUCUGGACUGACACUGACGCUGAUGUGCGAAAGCGUGGGUAGCAAACAGGAUUAGAUACCCUGGUAGUCCACGCCGUAAACGAUGUCGACUAGCCGUUGGGGUCCUUGAGACCUUUGUGGCGCAGUUAACGCGAUAAGUCGACCGCCUGGGGAGUACGGCCGCAAGGUUA
RNAcentral lists this ribosomal RNA (551 nucleotides) under uncultured bacterium. RNAcentral's name for it is "bacterial SSU rRNA". It matches the Rfam family "Bacterial small subunit ribosomal RNA", at positions 353 to 896 of the family's 1533-position model. The record is from RNAcentral.